Molecule: ribosomal RNA, 374 nt
Filed under: uncultured bacterium
Lineage: Bacteria
Description: bacterial SSU rRNA
Rfam family: Bacterial small subunit ribosomal RNA
Source: RNAcentral
AUACGUAGGUGGCGAGCGUUGUCCGGAAUUACUGGGUGUAAAGGGCGUGUAGGCGGGUUGUCAAGUCAGAUGUGAAAUUCCAGGGCUCAACUCUGGAGCUGCAUCUGAAACUGAUGAUCUUGAGUACUGGAGAGGGAAGCGGAAUUCCUAGUGUAGCGGUGAAAUGCGUAGAUAUUAGGAGGAACACCAGUGGCGAAGGCGGCUUUCUGGACAGUAACUGACGCUGAGGCGCGAAAGCGUGGGGAGCGAACAGGAUUAGAUACCCUGGUAGUCCACGCCGUAAACGAUGGAUACUAGGUGUGAGGGGGAUUACCUCUUCGUGCCGCAGUUAACACAAUAAGUAUCCCACCUGGGGAGUACGGCCGCAAGGUUGA